Molecule: transfer RNA, 57 nt
Filed under: Brookesia thieli (Domergue's leaf chameleon)
Lineage: Eukaryota; Metazoa; Chordata; Lepidosauria; Squamata; Chamaeleonidae
Description: tRNA-Ser
Source: RNAcentral
GAAAGGGCCACAAGAACUGCUAACUCAUAAACCUGAUACUAAUCCCUCAGACCUUUC